Molecule: ribosomal RNA, 449 nt
Filed under: uncultured bacterium
Lineage: Bacteria
Description: partial 16S ribosomal RNA
Rfam family: Bacterial small subunit ribosomal RNA
Source: RNAcentral
AACGAACGCUGGCGGCAUGCCUAAUACAUGCAAGUCGAACGAGAUCUUCGGAUCUAGUGGCGCACGGGUGCGUAACGCGUGGGAAUCUGCCCUUGGGUUCAGAAUAACAGUUAGAAAUGACUGCUAAUACCGGAUGAUGACGAAAGUCCAAAGAUUUAUCGCCCAAGGAUGAGCCCGCGUAGGAUUAGCUAGUUGGUGAGGUAAAGGCUCACCAAGGCUACGAUCCUUAGCUGGUCUGAGAGGAUGAUCAGCCACACUGGGACUGAGACACGGCCCAGACUCAUACGGGAGGCAGCAGUAGGGAAUAUUGGACAAUGGGCGAAAGCCUGAUCCAGCAAUGCCGCGUGAGCGAUGAAGGCCUUAGGGUUGUAAAGCUCUUUUACCCGGGAUGAUAAUGACAGUACCGGGAGAAUAAGCCCCGGCUAACUCCGUGCCAGCCGCCGCAGUAA